This 377-nucleotide ribosomal RNA is filed under the name uncultured bacterium. Its description in RNAcentral is "bacterial SSU rRNA". It matches the Rfam family "Bacterial small subunit ribosomal RNA", at positions 521 to 896 of the family's 1533-position model. The record is from RNAcentral.
UAAUACGGAGGGUGCAAGCGUUAAUCGGAAUUACUGGGCGUAAAGGGUUCGUAGGUGGUUUAUUAAGUUAUGUGUGAAAUCCCUGGGCUUAACCUGGGCAGGUCAGAUAAUACUGGUAGACUCGAGUAUGGGAGAGGGUAGUGGAAUUUCCGGUGUAGCGGUGAAAUGCGUAGAGAUCGGAAGGAACACCAGUGGCGAAGGCGGCUACCUGGCCUAAUACUGACACUGAGGAACGAAAGCGUGGGGAGCAAACAGGAUUAGAUACCCUGGUAGUCCACGCUGUAAACGAUGUCAACUAGCUGUUGGUUAUAUGAAUAUAAUUAGUGGCGCAGCAAACGCGAUAAGUUGACCGCCUGGGGAGUACGGUCGCAAGAUUA